Molecule: ribosomal RNA, 620 nt
Filed under: uncultured bacterium
Lineage: Bacteria
Description: bacterial SSU rRNA
Rfam family: Bacterial small subunit ribosomal RNA
Source: RNAcentral
AUUUGCCUUUAGGAGGGGGACAACAACUGGAAACGGUUGCUAAUACCCCAUAUGCUUUCGAGUGAAACGGUUUUUCCGCCUAAAGAGAAGCUUGCGGCUGAUUAGCUUGUUGGUAAGGUAAUGGCUUACCAAGGCGACGAUCAGUAUCUGGUUUGAGAGGACGAUCAGACACACUGGAACUGAGACACGGUCCAGACUCCUACGGGAGGCAGCAGUGGGGAAUUUUCCGCAAUGGGCGAAAGCCUGACGGAGCAAUAUCGCGUGAGGGAUGAAUGCCUAUGGGUUGUAAACCUCUUCUUUCAGGGAGGAAUCAAUGACGUUACCUGAAGAAUAAGCAUCGGCUAACUCCGUGCCAGCAGCCGCGGUAAGACGGAGGAUGCAAGUGUUAUCCGGAAUCACUGGGCGUAAAGCGUCUGUAGGUGGUUUGAUAAGUCAACUGUUAAAUCUUGAGGCUCAACCUCAAAACCGCAGUCGAAACUAUUAGACUAGAGUAUAGUAGGGGUAAAGGGAAUUUCCAGUGGAGCGGUGAAAUGCGUAGAGAUUGGAAAGAACACCGAUGGCGAAGGCACUUUACUGGGCUAUUACUAACACUGAGAGACGAAAGCUAGGGUAGCAAAUGG